RNAcentral lists this unclassified non-coding RNA (286 nucleotides) under Rhizophagus sp. (in: glomeromycetes). RNAcentral describes it as "partial internal transcribed spacer 2". The stretch from base 1 to 71 matches the Rfam family "5.8S ribosomal RNA", at positions 84 to 154 of the family's 154-position model. The record is from RNAcentral. Lineage: Eukaryota; Fungi; Glomeromycota; Glomeromycetes; Glomerales; Glomeraceae.
GUGAAUCAUCAAAUCUUUGAACGCAAAUUGCGCUUACUGUCAUCCCGAGUAGUAUGCCUGUUUGAGGGUCAGUAUUAACGCAAAAAUCGGUUUGGUUGCAAAUUGUGAAGUAUCCGGAGUUUGGGCUAUCUUAACUUUUUUGGUUAAGGGGCUUAAAAUUGACCUUUUUUGCGCAUUUUUAGACGUAUAUAAAUUUUUUUUUAUUCGUCUAUUCUUAAUGCCAAAAUCUUAUUAGAUGUGCUCACAUCGUAUGGCUUCGUGUCCACAAAAUUUUCAUGAUUUGACU